This 90-nucleotide transfer RNA is filed under the name Burkholderia multivorans. RNAcentral's name for it is "tRNA-Tyr". It matches the Rfam family "tRNA". From Rfam's summary of the family: Transfer RNA (tRNA) molecules are approximately 80 nucleotides in length. Their secondary structure includes four short double-helical elements and three loops (D, anti-codon, and T loops). Lineage: Bacteria; Pseudomonadati; Pseudomonadota; Betaproteobacteria; Burkholderiales; Burkholderiaceae. The record is from RNAcentral.
GGACGUGUAGCGCGUAAGUGGAAGCGCCCCGGUCUGUAAAACCGGAGCCCCCAGGGGCCUUGAGAGGUUCGAUUCCCUCCACGUCCACCA